Molecule: ribosomal RNA, 452 nt
Filed under: Alcaligenes sp. B81
Lineage: Bacteria; Pseudomonadati; Pseudomonadota; Betaproteobacteria; Burkholderiales; Alcaligenaceae
Description: bacterial SSU rRNA
Rfam family: Bacterial small subunit ribosomal RNA
Source: RNAcentral
GGGAUAACUACUCGAAAGAGUGGCUAAUACCGCAUACGCCCUACGGGGGAAAGGGGGGGAUCGCAAGACCUCUCACUAUUGGAGCGGCCGAUAUCGGAUUAGCUAGUUGGUGGGGUAAAGGCUCACCAAGGCAACGAUCCGUAGCUGGUUUGAGAGGACGACCAGCCACACUGGGACUGAGACACGGCCCAGACUCCUACGGGAGGCAGCAGUGGGGAAUUUUGGACAAUGGGGGAAACCCUGAUCCAGCCAUCCCGCGUGUAUGAUGAAGGCCUUCGGGUUGUAAAGUACUUUUGGCAGAGAAGAAAAGGUAUCCCCUAAUACGGGAUACUGCUGACGGUAUCUGCAGAAUAAGCACCGGCUAACUACGUGCCAGCAGCCGCGGUAAUACGUAGGGUGCAAGCGUUAAUCGGAAUUACUGGGCGUAAAGCGUGUGUAGGCGGUUCGGAAAG